Molecule: long non-coding RNA, 450 nt
Organism: Ananas comosus (pineapple)
Lineage: Eukaryota; Viridiplantae; Streptophyta; Magnoliopsida; Poales; Bromeliaceae
Exons: 2
Source: RefSeq, a predicted model, not a curated record
CAAGCGACCUGGAUCCUCAGUGGGUGUCGAUGAUCGAGAGUUGUUGGCACAGGAAUUUCUAGAAAAUCUUAAACAUGAUCUUUCUUACCAUAAAAAGGGUACAAUUGGUUUUCACAUCAUAUUGUAAGGUUACAUACUUAACCUUAAAUGGCAAAUGCGACAAGAAGGGAUUUCAGUGCUAAAAUUGUAAAGACGGAAACAAUCCUAGAUUUAGAUAUCUCAGGUGAGAAAAAUGCAAAUAUUGCGAUAUUUAUGGGUUGUUUCUGCAAUUCCCGUCUCUCUCUCUCUCUCUCUCUCUUUCUAAGUAUUUUGGUUUUGUGAUUUUGGUGUUGUAUAUAAGGAAGUUUUGCUUGGUAUGCUUGUAACUUUGUGGGCAUUUAUUGAAACACCUCUGCUUGGUCAUGCUCGGCUUGUUUAUGAUUGAGCCAAGCUCGAGCUUUGCUUAUUCAA